RNAcentral lists this ribosomal RNA (377 nucleotides) under uncultured bacterium. Its description in RNAcentral is "bacterial SSU rRNA". It matches the Rfam family "Bacterial small subunit ribosomal RNA", at positions 523 to 898 of the family's 1533-position model. The record is from RNAcentral.
AUACGUAGGUGGCAAGCGUUGUCCGGAAUUAUUGGGCGUAAAGGGCGCGUAGGCGGCCUGUUAAGUCUGGAGUGAAAGUCCUGCUUUCAAGGUGGGAAGUGCUUUGGAAACUGGCGGGCUGGAGUGCAGGAGAGGUUAGCGGAAUUCCCGGUGUAGCGGUGAAAUGCGUAGAGAUCGGGAGGAACACCAGUGGCGAAGGCGGCUAACUGGACUGUAACUGACGCUGAGGCGCGAAAGUGUGGGGAGCAAACAGGAUUAGAUACCCUGGUAGUCCACACUGUAAACGAUGAAUGCUAGGUGUAGGGGGUAUCGACCCCUUCUGUGCCGGAGUAAACACAAUAAGCAUUCCGCCUGGGGAGUACGGCCGCAAGGUUGAA